Molecule: ribosomal RNA, 2880 nt
Filed under: Paraburkholderia sp. Cpub6
Lineage: Bacteria; Pseudomonadati; Pseudomonadota; Betaproteobacteria; Burkholderiales; Burkholderiaceae
Description: 23S ribosomal RNA
Rfam family: Bacterial large subunit ribosomal RNA
Source: RNAcentral
GGUCAAGCGAACAAGUGCAUGUGGUGGAUGCCUUGGCGAUCACAGGCGAUGAAGGACGCGGUAGCCUGCGAAAAGCUCCGGGGAGCUGGCAAACGAGCAUUGAUCCGGAGAUGUCCGAAUGGGGAAACCCACUCCUAAUGGAGUAUCCGUAGCUGAAUCCAUAGGCUACGUGAAGCGAACGCGGUGAACUGAAACAUCUAAGUAACCGCAGGAAAAGAAAUCAACCGAGAUUCCCAGAGUAGUGGCGAGCGAAAUGGGAUCAGCCGGUACACGUUAUCCGUAUUGUUAGUCGAACGCUCUGGAAAGUGCGGCCAUAGCAGGUGAUAGCCCUGUAGACGAAAACAGCAUGGAAGAACUGGGUGUACGAGAAGUAGGGCGGGACACGUGAAAUCCUGUCUGAAGAUGGGGGGACCAUCCUCCAAGGCUAAAUACUCGUGAUCGACCGAUAGUGAACCAGUACCGUGAGGGAAAGGCGAAAAGAACCCCGGGAGGGGAGUGAAACAGAUCCUGAAACCGCAUGCAUACAAACAGUCGGAGCCUCGUAAGGGGUGACGGCGUACCUUUUGUAUAAUGGGUCAGCGACUUACAUUCAGUGGCGAGCUUAACCGAUUAGGGCAGGCGUAGCGAAAGCGAGUCCGAACAGGGCGUCCAGUCGCUGGGUGUAGACCCGAAACCAGGUGAUCUAUCCAUGGCCAGGUUGAAGGCACGGUAACACGUGCUGGAGGACCGAACCCACUAACGUUGAAAAGUUAGGGGAUGAGCUGUGGAUAGGGGUGAAAGGCUAAACAAACCUGGAAAUAGCUGGUUCUCUCCGAAAACUAUUUAGGUAGUGCCUCGUGUAUCACCUUCGGGGGUAGAGCACUGUCAUGGUUGUGGGGUCCAUUGCGGAUUACUACGCCAUAGCAAACUCCGAAUACCGAAGAGUGCAAUCACGGGAGACAGACAUCGGGUGCUAACGUCCGGUGUCAAGAGGGAAACAACCCAGACCGCCAGCUAAGGUCCCCAAAUAUGGCUAAGUGGGAAACGAAGUGGGAAGGCUAAAACAGUCAGGAGGUUGGCUUAGAAGCAGCCACCCUUUAAAGAAAGCGUAAUAGCUCACUGAUCGAGUCGUCCUGCGCGGAAGAUGUAACGGGGCUAAGCCAUAUACCGAAGCUGCGGAUGCACAGUAAUGUGCAUGGUAGGAGAGCGUUCCGUAAGCCUGCGAAGGUGCACUGGAAAGUGUGCUGGAGGUAUCGGAAGUGCGAAUGCUGACAUGAGUAGCGAUAAAGGGGGUGAAAGGCCCCCUCGCCGUAAGCCCAAGGUUUCCUACGCAACGUUCAUCGGCGUAGGGUGAGUCGGCCCCUAAGGCGAGGCAGAAAUGCGUAGCUGAUGGGAAGCAGAUUAAUAUUUCUGCACCAUUGUGAAAUGCGAUGGGGGGACGGAUCGCGGAAGGUUGUCCGGGUGUUGGAAGUCCCGGUCCUUGCAUUGGAGAAGGCGCUUUGGCAAAUCCGGGCGCGGAAUUCAAGGGUGCGAGGCGAGCCACUUCGGUGGCGAAGCAACUGGAAGGGGUUCCAGGAAAAGCCUCUAAGCUUCAGUUUCACAGUGACCGUACCGCAAACCGACACAGGUGGGCGAGAUGAGUAUUCUAAGGCGCUUGAGAGAACUCGGGAGAAGGAACUCGGCAAAUUGGUACCGUAACUUCGGGAUAAGGUACGCCCUCAUAGCCUGACUGGCCUGCGCCAGAAGGGUGAAAGGGUUGCAAUAAACUGGUGGCUGCGACUGUUUAAUAAAAACACAGCACUCUGCAAACACGAAAGUGGACGUAUAGGGUGUGACGCCUGCCCGGUGCCGGAAGAUUAAAUGAUGGGGUGCAAGCUCCUGAUUGAAGUCCCGGUAAACGGCGGCCGUAACUAUAACGGUCCUAAGGUAGCGAAAUUCCUUGUCGGGUAAGUUCCGACCUGCACGAAUGGCGUAACGAUGGCCACACUGUCUCCUCCCGAGACUCAGCGAAGUUGAAGUGUUUGUGAUGAUGCAAUCUCCCCGCGGCUAGACGGAAAGACCCCAUGAACCUUUACUGUAGCUUUGCAUUGGACUUUGAACCGGUCUGUGUAGGAUAGGUGGGAGGCUAUGAAGUUGGGACGCCAGUCUCAAUGGAGCCGUCCUUGAAAUACCACCCUGAUCUGUUUGAGGUUCUAACCUUGGCCCGUGAUCCGGGUCGGGGACAGUGCAUGGUAGGCAGUUUGACUGGGGCGGUCUCCUCCCAAAGUGUAACGGAGGAGUACGAAGGUACGCUAGGUACGGUCGGAAAUCGUGCUGAUAGUGCAAUGGCAUAAGCGUGCUUGACUGUGAGACUGACAAGUCGAACAGGUGCGAAAGCAGGUCAUAGUGAUCCGGUGGUUCUGUAUGGAAGGGCCAUCGCUCAACGGAUAAAAGGUACUCUGGGGAUAACAGGCUGAUACCGCCCAAGAGUUCAUAUCGACGGCGGUGUUUGGCACCUCGAUGUCGGCUCAUCUCAUCCUGGGGCUGUAGCCGGUCCCAAGGGUAUGGCUGUUCGCCAUUUAAAGAGGUACGUGAGCUGGGUUUAAAACGUCGUGAGACAGUUUGGUCCCUAUCUGCCGUGGGCGCUGGAUAUUUGAAGGGGGCUGCUCCUAGUACGAGAGGACCGGAGUGGACGAACCUCUGGUGUACCGGUUGUCACGCCAGUGGCAUCGCCGGGUAGCUAUGUUCGGAAGAGAUAACCGCUGAAAGCAUCUAAGCGGGAAACUCGCCUUAAGAUGAGAUAUCCCCGGGGCUUCGAGCCCCUUGAAGGGUCGUUCAAGACCAGGACGUUGAUAGGUCAGGUGUGCACGUACAGUAAUGUACUGAGCUAACUGAUACUAAUUGCCCGUAAGGCUUGAUCCU